CGAUUCUAGCUUUCCUGGAUCGUGAACCAAGGGGCUGUGGGGGAGGAAGGGCAGCCUAUGAUAAGUCAAUUCCGCAAGAAAGUAAAAAGGAAAAAGAAGAACCGGAAGUCGGAAGAUGACCUUUGGUAGAGGUCUUACGCGGAAGUGAUAGUCUAGCACAAUCUCAGAUUAGGGGUAGCCCUUGUCGGAGCACCAAAGACUUUUUUUUAUAAAAAAUAGUAGCAGCCCUAGCUCCAUAGCUCGUAGCUCAACCGAUUGCAACUAAUGGGGCCGGUCAGAAGCUUCUUUACGCUGCUGAUACCCGGUGUGGUUCUUACUCGCUUCCCCCUGGUGCGGUGCCUUCUCUUUCUAUAUAGAAUACGUCCAACCAGUCCCCACACGCCCGAUCACGAACACAGGUCCCGAAAACCGGGCACAAGUCUAGGACCAAACCAGGCUCCAUAGCCCGAGGUCCUGACUCAAGUCAAAAGACCAAAUCGGGAGCGAAAGGCGGUGGACAUUCUCUUUAAGUAAUCAAUGGCGCACGAGCGAUUAAGCGGGCAUCUCCUGAUUCGAUGCUCUAUUGAACUACGGCCGCUCCUACUUUCUUCUUAGUGGUUUGGUACUCCCCUUUUUAAGAAGUAAGAAGGGCUCUUUGUCGCUACAGGAAAGCCAGUGCAUGAAGAUCUAUUCCCCUAGUCCUACGACCUUCCCGCCUAAGGGGGUGGAUUGAGGCCUGUAGUUCGUGUUCCCUGGCCAAAAUGGGGAAAUCACACAAGGAAAUCAAGUCUAGCUCCACCCGGGCGGUACUUCCACGAAAGAACCAUAAAGUCAAAAAGGAACUAGCUCCAACUGCUACUAUUCGCGGAACAUCUACUUUUAAAUGGAACCCCCGCAGGACGAAGCACAGAUCAGUAGAUAUUCGAGUCUAACUGCUUUCACUAAUGGAACCCGGUCAAAUUG
Molecule: unclassified non-coding RNA, 942 nt
Filed under: Hevea brasiliensis (rubber tree)
Lineage: Eukaryota; Viridiplantae; Streptophyta; Magnoliopsida; Malpighiales; Euphorbiaceae
Source: RNAcentral